AAGAGAGGCCACCUUCUGUCCUCCGCUGAGGAUUUGAGUCCUUUUGCCCUUGGUGAGAACACCAAAGAGGACCGCCGGAAUGUCACCAAAUAUCUAUUGAGUGCUUGCUCUGUGAUCUGGCAGACAACUCAAAGGCACAGAGAUGAAGAUGAAACACACCAUGGAGCCAGGGAAGGGCCUGGAUGCUGUGGGAAACACUACAACAGAGCCCCCAAGGACUGGGAUCAAUAUUGGAAACCUGUGCUUUAGUUCUUCCACCUCUGCUGCUGCUAUGCUGUGUGACCUCAGGCUUCUCCUUUCCCCUCCCGUCUAUUCUCCAAGCACCUAUUGCCUCCAAGAUGGGCUCUAGACUGUAAGAGCCUUGUCCUUCACUCUCCCAGUAGCCCCCAGGCCUUUGAAAACAGCCAGGCAGACCCCCUCACCUGCUGCUCACAUGGCAUCCUGUGGUGGCCCACGAAGCCCCAGUGACCUGCUGCCUGGCUGCCUCCCUCCACGGCUCUAACCUCUGUCCCCUUGGCACCAGCUCACUAUGAGGUCCUCCCUAUUCCUUAAGACCAAGCUCCAGCCUCUUCAAAAACAGCACAUCUCUCUCUGACACAGCCACUCUCCCUUUAUCCUGUGUAUUCCUUCACAGCUCCCCUCCCCAUCUGCAACCACACUCUGAUUGUUACGACUUUGCUCGUUCCCCUCUCUGGAAUAAAAAUGGUAAAACUCUGUCUCUUAUUCAUGACCAUUUAUCCACAACCUAGAACUGCUCCUGGCAAUGAAGAGGCUCGCCACGCCUCUUGCUGAAUGAGUGGAUGGAUGGCUGGAUGCUAAAAGAGAUUCCCACUAGGUUCUGAGAAUGAGGCAUCCCAGAGUAACAUCCUGUUUCCUUCUCCGUUACCUCGACACCUGUAGGACUGGGCCGACUGGGAGCACCAUGUGGAGAACAGAGACAAACUGGAGUGCCUUGGGGAGGAAGGAGGAGAGCACAGUCUCUGAGUCAGCCAUGAGGCAGAGCAAAUACAAGUGGUCAUGCAGGAAGAAGAGUGCUGGUUCUGCGGGGUCCUAAGAGGGAGAUGUACGGGGGGUGUGCUUUGUUCAAUAUGACAACACUACCAAUGGUUUAGUUCUUACUGCAUGAGCUUUACAUGUGGUGUAUCUUUCUGGCCUUGAAACUAUCCUGCAGGGUAAAACAACUGUCCCCCAUCAUAAGAAAUGAAGGUAACAGUGCAUGUUCUCCCCUCAGCCUGGGACAGCUUCACCAGGCAAAUUCCUGCUCAUUCUCCAGGCCAUCUCCCCAGAGAAGUCCUUCCUCAACCUCAAGAACACAUCGAGUUCUCUGUCUUCUGUUCCCACAGGACCCUGCAGUCACCCCUCCUAGCUCUUGCUGUAACAGUAGACACAUGAUUUCGGUGUAAAUAUGGACAGGACAGGAGGCAGGGCUGGACACUGCUACAUGCCCCAGAACAGUGCCUGUCCUAUGAUAUCCAAGGAAUAAUUAUCUAAUGAGUGAGAUGGAGCAGGGAACCCUCUUAGGGGCCCUGCAGCACCGCCCCCGCCAAGCAUGGAAAUAAAAUCUUGAGUUUCUUCAAGGGAAAUUCCAGGCACCUAGCUAGCCCUGAGAAGUAAAUAAGCAAGCUGAUAAGCAAGAAGGUAAUAGUAACUAACUUAAAACAACAGCCAAGGAAGCUAGAAUCAUGGGAUGUUUGAUUCCCUACAGAAAUUAAAGAUAACAUCUUCACAUAUGAACCAGAGUUCUUUUUCAGAAACCUGGACCCACACCAAACAGAUGUGCUGGCAUGCAUGCAGACCUCAGAUAAGAGGGAACUGCAGGCCGAACUCUGACCGCAGUUCCAGUUCUUUGUUCUAAACUUAUUCUUAGGAGGCCUGGAAGAAGCCAUACCCACAAGCUGGAGCUAACAUUCUUUUCUGCUGACCCUAAAUUUUAAAACAAAGCUUCUCUUCCUUACCCAAUUGCAAAGCAGAAACUCUCUGAAAUCUACCUAUGACUAUAAGCCCCCACCCACUUCAAGACGAUAGCCUGCCCCUUUGGGCUAAACCAAUGUGUAACCUCCAUACAAUGACUUAUAACUUUGCCUGAAACUUCUGCUUUCCUGAAAUUUACCCCUGCCUUUAAAAACCCUUGUUUGCAAGCCAUUGGAGAGGUGGGGUGUUAAGAGAGAACUGCUCAGUUCUCCUUGCUUGGUACUCUGAAAAUAAACACCCUCCUUUCUCCUGCAGUAAACCUCAGCGUGGAUGUUUGUUUUUACUGUGCCA
Molecule: long non-coding RNA, 2262 nt
Filed under: Homo sapiens (human)
Lineage: Eukaryota; Metazoa; Chordata; Mammalia; Primates; Hominidae
Description: HSALNT0096656
Source: RNAcentral